RNAcentral lists this transfer RNA (93 nucleotides) under Komagataeibacter rhaeticus. RNAcentral describes it as "tRNA-???(atgg)". The record is from RNAcentral. Lineage: Bacteria; Pseudomonadati; Pseudomonadota; Alphaproteobacteria; Acetobacterales; Acetobacteraceae.
GCCUGUCUGUGGCCCGGUUGCGAUGGGGCAGCCCAUAUGGGCGGGCUCGGCCGGGUUAUGGCCGCCGCCCGUGCAGCCGGGCAGGCUGUUGCC